This 253-nucleotide ribosomal RNA is filed under the name uncultured bacterium. Its description in RNAcentral is "partial 16S ribosomal RNA". It matches the Rfam family "Bacterial small subunit ribosomal RNA", at positions 524 to 776 of the family's 1533-position model. The record is from RNAcentral.
UACGUAGGGUCCAAGCGUUGUCCGGAUUUAUUGGGCGUAAAGAGCUCGUAGGCGGCUCAGUAAGUCGGAUGUGAAAACUCGGGGCUCAACCCCGAGACGCCAUCCGAUACUGCUGUGGCUUGAGUCUGGUAGGGGAACACGGAAUUCCUGGUGUAGCGGUGAAAUGCGCAGAUAUCAGAGGAACACCGAUGGCGAAGGCAGUGUUCUGGGCCAGUACUGACGCUGAGGAGCGAAAGCGUGGGUAGCAAACAGG